This is a ribosomal RNA of 557 nucleotides. It matches the Rfam family "Eukaryotic large subunit ribosomal RNA", at positions 50 to 628 of the family's 3401-position model.
UCGGAGGAAAAGGAAACCAACAGGGAUUGCCUUAGUAACGGCGAGUGAAGCGGCAAAAGCUCAAAUUUGAAAUCUGGCACUUUCAGUGUCCGAGUUGUAAUUUGAAGAAGGUAACUUUGGAGUUGGCCCUUGUCUAUGUUCCUUGGAACAGGACGUCACAGAGGGUGAGAAUCCCGUGCGAUGAGGUGUCCAAUUCUAUGUAAAGUGCUUUCGAAGAGUCGAGUUGUUUGGGAAUGCAGCUCUAAGUGGGUGGUAAAUUCCAUCUAAAGCUAAAUAUUGGCGAGAGACCGAUAGCGAACAAGUACAGUGAUGGAAAGAUGAAAAGAACUUUGAAAAGAGAGUGAAAAAGUACGUGAAAUUGUUGAAAGGGAAGGGCUUGAGAUCAGACUCGGUAUUUUGCAAGCCUAUCCUUCGUGGAGAGGUUUAUUAGCAGCUUACCGGGCCAGCAUCGGUUUGGAUGGUAGGAUAAUGGCAUUGGAAUGUGGCUCUUCGGAGUGUUAUAGCCUUUGUUGAUACUGCCUAUCUAGACCGAGGACUGCGUCUUGACUAGGAUGCUG